Molecule: long non-coding RNA, 102 nt
Organism: Ipomoea nil (Japanese morning glory)
Lineage: Eukaryota; Viridiplantae; Streptophyta; Magnoliopsida; Solanales; Convolvulaceae
Exons: 3
Source: RefSeq, a predicted model, not a curated record
CAUGCAACUUAGAUCAGAGAUCUCAGAGAAGAAUGUGUUAGAAGUGACAUAAAGAGAACCAGAUAUUCUCACUGUCAUUUCAUAAAAAAUUUUGAGGAGCUU